Molecule: long non-coding RNA, 272 nt
Filed under: Pan troglodytes (chimpanzee)
Lineage: Eukaryota; Metazoa; Chordata; Mammalia; Primates; Hominidae
Description: long non-coding RNA NONPTRT014992
Source: RNAcentral
GUAGCUGGGACUACAGGCGCGUGUCACCAUGCCCAGCUAAUUUUUGUAUUUUUAGUAGAGACGGGGUUUCACUAUAUUGGCCAGGCUGGUCUCAAAAGUUAUAAAGCUAUGCUUCAAAUUCAGUGUGUCUCCCUUGUUUCGUGUAUGUGUGUGUGUGUGUGUGUGUGUGUGUGUGUGUUUAAAUCACAGUAUGUUCUUCGUCUUGGCUAUCAUUACUUCCAUUUUAAAAAAUAAUUAGAAUAAGUUUGCUUAUAUUUGUGUGCAACUCUUGA